AGGUUACUGCUAUCGGUGUUCGCCUAAGCCAUGCGAGUCAUAUGUUCGUAAGAACAUGGCGUACUGCUCAGUAACACGUGGAUAACCUGCCCUUGGGUCCGGCAUAACCCCGGGAAACUGGGGAUAAUUCCGGAUAACGCACAUAUGCUGGAAUGCUUUUUGCGUAAAAUGGAUUCGUCUGCCCAAGGAUGGGUCUGCGGCCUAUCAGGUAGUAGUGGGUGUAAUGUACCUACUAGCCUACGACGGGUACGGGUUGUGAGAGCAAGAGCCCGGAGAUGGAUUCUGAGACAUGAAUCCAGGCCCUACGGGGCGCAGCAGGCGCGAAAACUUUACAAUGCGGGAAACCGUGAUAAGGGGACACCGAGUGCCAGCAUCCUAUGCUGGCUGUCCGGGUGUGUAAAAUACACCUGUUAGCAAGGGCCGGGCAAGACCGGUGCCAGCCGCCGCGGUAACACCGGCGGCCCGAGUGGUGAUCGUGAUUAUUGGGUCUAAAGGGUCCGUAGCCGGUUUGGUCAGUCCUCCGGGAAAUCUGACAGCUCAACUGUUAGGCUAUCGGAGGAUACUGCCAGACUUGGAACCGGGAGAGGUAAGAGGUACUACAGGGGUAGGAGUGAAAUCUUGUAAUCCCUGUGGGACCACCUGUGGCGAAGGCGUCUUACCAGAACGGGUUCGACGGUGAGGGACGAAAGCUGGGGGCACGAACCGGAUUAGAUACCCGGGUAGUCCCAGCCGUAAACGAUGCUCGCUAGGUGUCAGGCAUGGCGCGACCGUGUCUGGUGCCGCAGGGAAGCUGUGAAGCGAGCCACCUGGGAAGUACGGCCGCAAGGCUGAAACUUAA
This 838-nucleotide ribosomal RNA is filed under the name uncultured archaeon. RNAcentral's name for it is "bacterial SSU rRNA". It matches the Rfam family "Archaeal small subunit ribosomal RNA", at positions 21 to 859 of the family's 1478-position model. The record is from RNAcentral.